Molecule: ribosomal RNA, 465 nt
Filed under: Vreelandella stevensii
Lineage: Bacteria; Pseudomonadati; Pseudomonadota; Gammaproteobacteria; Oceanospirillales; Halomonadaceae
Description: partial 16S ribosomal RNA
Rfam family: Bacterial small subunit ribosomal RNA
Source: RNAcentral
CCUACGGGAGGCAGCAGUGGGGAAUAUUGGACAAUGGGGGGAACCCUGAUCCAGCCAUGCCGCGUGUGUGAAGAAGGCCCUCGGGUUGUAAAGCACUUUCAGUGAGGAAGAACGCCUGGUGGUUAAUACCCAUCAGGAAAGACAUCACUCACAGAAGAAGCACCGGCUAACUCCGUGCCAGCAGCCGCGGUAAUACGGAGGGUGCGAGCGUUAAUCGGAAUUACUGGGCGUAAAGCGCGCGUAGGUGGCUUGAUAAGCCGGUUGUGAAAGCCCCGGGCUCAACCUGGGAACGGCAUCCGGAACUGUCAAGCUAGAGUGCAGGAGAGGAAGGUAGAAUUCCCGGUGUAGCGGUGAAAUGCGUAGAGAUCGGGAGGAAUACCAGUGGCGAAGGCGGCCUUCUGGACUGACACUGACACUGAGGUGCGAAAGCGUGGGUAGCAAACAGGAUUAGAAACCCUAGUAGUC